Molecule: ribosomal RNA, 254 nt
Filed under: uncultured bacterium
Lineage: Bacteria
Description: partial 16S ribosomal RNA
Rfam family: Bacterial small subunit ribosomal RNA
Source: RNAcentral
UACGAGGGGGGCGAGCGUUGUUCGGAAUUAUUGGGCGUAAAGGGUGCGUAGGCGGUUUGGUAAGUCUGAUGUGAAAUCUAUGGGCUCAACUCAUAGUCUGCAUCGGAAACUGCCGGGCUUGAGUGUGGGAGAGGUGAGUGGAAUUCCUGGUGUAGCGGUGAAAUGCGUAGAUAUCUGGAGGAACACCGGUGGCGAAGGCGGCAUCCUGGACCAUUACUGACGCUGAGUGAGCGAAAGCCAGGGGAGCAAACGGG